RNAcentral lists this small RNA (30 nucleotides) under Bombyx mori (domestic silkworm). Its description in RNAcentral is "ovarian small RNA-12481". Lineage: Eukaryota; Metazoa; Arthropoda; Insecta; Lepidoptera; Bombycidae. The record is from RNAcentral.
AUCCUUGUUCAUCCGUUUCAAGGCCCACCU